GCAAGCAUAGCUCAAUUGGGAGAGCGCCCGACCGAUAAUCGGGAGGUUGGAUAGGGUUCAAUUCCCCCUGUUUGCACCA
This 79-nucleotide transfer RNA is filed under the name Pseudomonas fluorescens. RNAcentral's name for it is "tRNA-Ile". It matches the Rfam family "tRNA". Rfam says of the family: Transfer RNA (tRNA) molecules are approximately 80 nucleotides in length. RNAcentral also lists the same sequence under 3 other names. Lineage: Bacteria; Pseudomonadati; Pseudomonadota; Gammaproteobacteria; Pseudomonadales; Pseudomonadaceae. The record is from RNAcentral.